Molecule: ribosomal RNA, 255 nt
Filed under: uncultured bacterium
Lineage: Bacteria
Description: partial 16S ribosomal RNA
Rfam family: Bacterial small subunit ribosomal RNA
Source: RNAcentral
UACGUAGGGGGCAAGCGUUGUCCGGAAUCAUUGGGCGUAAAGCGCGUGUAGGCGGCCCGGUAAGUCCGCUGUGAAAGUCGGGGGCUCAACCCUCGAAUGCCGGUGGAUACUGUCGGGCUAGAGUGCGGAAGAGGCGAGUGGAAUUCCUGGUGUAGCGGUGAAAUGCGCAGAUAUCAGGAGGAACACCGGUGGCGAAGGCGGUUCUCUGGGCAUUACCUGACGCUGGAGGAGCGAAAGUGUGGGGACGCGAACAGG